GAGGGGAUAGCUCAGUGGUAGAGCGCAUGCUCAGCAUGCAUGAGGUCGUGGGUUCAAUCCCUAGUCCCUCCG
This 72-nucleotide transfer RNA is filed under the name Camelus bactrianus (Bactrian camel). It matches the Rfam family "tRNA". From Rfam's summary of the family: Transfer RNA (tRNA) molecules are approximately 80 nucleotides in length. Their secondary structure includes four short double-helical elements and three loops (D, anti-codon, and T loops). RNAcentral also lists the same sequence under 1 other name. Lineage: Eukaryota; Metazoa; Chordata; Mammalia; Artiodactyla; Camelidae. The record is from Rfam by way of RNAcentral.